GACGAACGCUGGCGGCGUGCCUAAUACAUGCAAGUAGAACGCUGAAGGAGGAGCUUGCUUCUCUGGAUGAGUUGCGAACGGGUGAGUAACGCGUAGGUAACCUGCCUGGUAGCGGGGGAUAACUAUUGGAAACGAUAGCUAAUACCGCAUAAGAGUAGAUGUUGCAUGACAUUUGCUUAAAAGGUGCAAUUGCAUCACUACCAGAUGGACCUGCGUUGUAUUAGCUAGUUGGUGAGGUAGCGGCUCACCAAGGCGACGAUACAUAGCCGACCUGAGAGGGUGAUCGGCCACACUGGGACUGAGACACGGCCCAGACUCCUACGGGAGGCAGCAGUAGGGAAUCUUCGGCAAUGGACGGAAGUCUGACCGAGCAACGCCGCGUGAGUGAAGAAGGUUUUCGGAUCGUAAAGCUCUGUUGUAAGAGAAGAACGAGUGUGAGAGUGGAAAGUUCACACUGUGACGGUAUCUUACCAGAAAGGGACGGCUAACUACGUGCCAGCAGCCGCGGUAAUACGUAGGUCCCGAGCGUUGUCCGGAUUUAUUGGGCGUAAAGCGAGCGCAGGCGGUUAGAUAAGUCUGAAGUUAAAGGCUGUGGCUUAACCAUAGUACGCUUUGGAAACUGUUUAACUUGAGUGCAAGAGGGGAGAGUGGAAUUCCAUGUGUAGCGGUGAAAUGCGUAGAUAUAUGGAGGAACACCGGUGGCGAAAGCGGCUCUCUGGCUUGUAACUGACGCUGAGGCUCGAAAGCGUGGGGAGCAAACAGG
Molecule: ribosomal RNA, 763 nt
Filed under: uncultured Streptococcus sp.
Lineage: Bacteria; Bacillati; Bacillota; Bacilli; Lactobacillales; Streptococcaceae
Description: bacterial SSU rRNA
Rfam family: Bacterial small subunit ribosomal RNA
Source: RNAcentral